RNAcentral lists this long non-coding RNA (1416 nucleotides) under Papio anubis (olive baboon). RNAcentral's name for it is "lncRNA (ENSPANG00000044061.1)". Lineage: Eukaryota; Metazoa; Chordata; Mammalia; Primates; Cercopithecidae. The record is from RNAcentral.
AUGAAAUUAUGGGUAUUUACGUCCUUUUCCCCCAAUAGUAUUUUAACAAAUGAAAAACACCUUAAUAGGUAUUCCCAAAAUAAUUCUUAUGAGUUUGUAAUAAAAAACGAGGACGAGGUCUUGAAUACACGCAUCGCUGACUCAAAGAUGGUCACCCCGCCGGCCCCCACCCCCGGCCAAGAAUCCCGCUCCGCAGAGCGCAGAGCUCCGUGGCCCGCGCCGGAAGUGGGCGUGGCUCGCCCGCGGCUUGCUGGGACUUGUAUUUCGGGGCUCCAGGCGCGCGAGCCGGCAGCAUCCGGAAUGCGGCCCCUGCAGGUGUGGGGUUCCACGUGGGAGGAAUCCAUCCCCACUGGGAGUAAGAAAUGACCAAGGUCCGGAUUCCAAGUCAAUUGUGGUAGCUGCUGGGGAUUUAAAGAUGAGUUGAGGCCAGGCGUGGUGGCUCACACCUGUAAUCCCAGUACUUUGGGAGGCUGAGUGGGGAGGAUCACCUGAGGUCAGGAGUUUGAGACCAGCCUGGCCAACAUAGUGAAACCUCAUCUCUACUAAAAAUACAAAAAAUUAGCUGGUCAUGUUGAUGCCUGUAAUCCCAGCUACUCAGGAGGCUGAGGCAGGAGAAUCUCUUGAACCCAGGAGGUGGGGGUUGUGGUGAGCUGAGAUCUUGCCACUGCACUCCAGCCUGGGCAACAGAGUGAGACUCUGCGUCAAACAACAAAGAUAAGUUGAGUGUGGCACCUAUCCUUCAGAAUCUUACAGCCAACUUGGGAGACAGACUUAAUAGCUAUAGUAGAGGGAUGUGAAAGAUGCUAUGAGAUCUCAAAGGAGAAGAAUUCUAACUCAUCCUCAUGCUUCUGAAAGAGGCUAUUGUCCUAAGACUGAAAGCUCCAAAAUGGAUGGGAGAACUCAAUAAGUUAGGGCUUAUGAUAGAAAGGACUGUGCUAGACUCAAGUAUGAUGUGUUGAAUGACUCCAGGUAAUCUAGUGUGCCUCUUCCUGCUUUUUCACUUCAAAGUAAAGUUAGAUACAGCAGAGAGGGGCUCUGGAAAGAAGUGGAAGGCCAUGUGAUGGCAUGUAUGUAGUUCUAAGGAGGUUGACAUUUGUCUGAUAGAAACAGGAAACAAUUGAUCUUGUGACCUUCCUCUUUGUGGCCUUUAGAAUAUCGAGUCUGCUCUCUCCACUGUAAGCAGGAGCACAGCCUUGGAGUGACUCCUUAGUGCCACUGAUACCUGGGAAGACUGUUGAUUAUUCAGUGUUUCAGUCCCAGCUUUGUCUUGCUUAGGAGCACUAUUUCCUUUCCUUUUCUCCCUUCCCUUGUCACAAUGAUUCCUCUCAUUUGGUCUACUCCUGUCAUUUUUUUUUUACCUACCACAAAGUUAAUAGUCCACCAACAUAUCCUUUCCCUUCUCAGAAUGGAAUCCCG